GCUUUUCACGCGAAAAACAUUACUCUCUAAUAAAUUGUAUAAUAUACUUUCAAAGUAUAUUAUACAAUUUAUUAGAGAGUAAUGUUUUCGCGUGAAAAGU
RNAcentral lists this microRNA precursor (100 nucleotides) under Paramuricea clavata. Lineage: Eukaryota; Metazoa; Cnidaria; Anthozoa; Malacalcyonacea; Plexauridae. The record is from RNAcentral.